This 542-nucleotide ribosomal RNA is filed under the name Nasutitermes sp. BAHAR058-14. Its description in RNAcentral is "partial 16S ribosomal RNA". It matches the Rfam family "Bacterial large subunit ribosomal RNA", at positions 1809 to 2613 of the family's 2925-position model. The record is from RNAcentral. Lineage: Eukaryota; Metazoa; Arthropoda; Insecta; Blattodea; Termitidae.
AAAAACAUCUUUUCUUGUUAGUUUUUGAAGUAUGGCCUGCCCACUGACUGUUAAGUUGAAGGGCCGCGGUAUUUUGACCGUGCAAAGGUAGCAUAAUCAUUAGUUCUUUAAUUGUGAUCUGGUAUGAAUGGCUUGACGAGACAUAAGCUGUCUUAGAGGCAUUGGUUUAUUGAAUUUGGGGUUUGAGUUAAAAUUCUUAAAUGUUUUUAUGGGACGAGAAGACCCUAUAGAGUUUGACAGUUUCCUUAUUUGUUUGUUGUUUGUUUAUUUUGACGUUGAGUAGGAAUAAUUGUUUUGUUGGGGUGAUGGGAGGAAAUUAUUUAACUCCUCUUUGUUUUUGUAUAUUUAUGUAUAUUUUUUUGAUCCAUUUAUUUUGAUUAUAAGAUUAAAUUACCUUAGGGAUAACAGCGUUAUCUUCCUUGAGAGUUCUUAUUGGCGGGGAGGUUUGCGACCUCGAUGUUGGAUUAAGGUGAAUUUUCGGUGCAGGAGCUGAAAGUGAUUAGGUCUGUUCGACCUUUAAAAUCUUACGUGAUCUGAGUUCA